This 121-nucleotide ribosomal RNA is filed under the name Podospora anserina S mat+. Lineage: Eukaryota; Fungi; Ascomycota; Sordariomycetes; Sordariales; Podosporaceae. The record is from RNAcentral.
ACAUACGACCAUACCCAGCUAAAAAUACGGCAUCCCGUCCGCUCUGCCCGAGUCAAAUAGCUGAAGGGCCGAAUCAGUACUCAGGUGGGUGACCACUGGGGAAUCCUCGGUGUUGUAUGUU